GUAGCUGGUCUGAGAGGAUGRCCAGCCACACUGGAACUGAGACACGGUCCAGACUCCUACGGGAGGCAGCAGUGGGGAAUAUUGGACAAUGGGGGCAACCCUGAUCCAGCAAUGCCGCGUGUGUGAAGAAGGCCUGAGGGUUGUAAAGCACUUUCAGUGGGGAGGAGGRUUGAUAGGUUAAGAGCUGAUUAAUUGGACGUUACCCACAGAAGAAGCACCGGCUAACUCCGUGCCAGCAGCCGCGGUAAUACGGAGGGUGCAAGCGUUAAUCGGAAUUACUGGGCGUAAAGGGUGCGUAGGUGGUUGAAUAAGUUAUCUGUGAAAUCCCUGGGCUUAACCUGGGCAGGUCAGAUAAGACUGUUUGACUCGAGUAUGG
This 376-nucleotide ribosomal RNA is filed under the name uncultured Legionella sp. RNAcentral's name for it is "bacterial SSU rRNA". It matches the Rfam family "Bacterial small subunit ribosomal RNA", at positions 283 to 651 of the family's 1533-position model. The record is from RNAcentral. Lineage: Bacteria; Pseudomonadati; Pseudomonadota; Gammaproteobacteria; Legionellales; Legionellaceae.